UACGUAGGGCGCAAGCGUUGUCCGGAAUUAUUGGGCGUAAAGAGCUCGUAGGCGGUUUGUCGCGUCUGCUGUGAAAACCUAAGGCUCAACCUUGGGCUUGCAGUGGGUACGGGCAGACUAGAGUGCGGUAGGGGUGACUGGAAUUCCUGGUGUAGCGGUGGAAUGCGCAGAUAUCAGGAGGAACACCGAUGGCGAAGGCAGGGUC
This 205-nucleotide ribosomal RNA is filed under the name uncultured bacterium. RNAcentral's name for it is "partial 16S ribosomal RNA". It matches the Rfam family "Bacterial small subunit ribosomal RNA", at positions 524 to 727 of the family's 1533-position model. The record is from RNAcentral.